This is a long non-coding RNA of Ornithorhynchus anatinus (platypus), 582 nucleotides long. RefSeq lists it as uncharacterized. The transcript is spliced from 3 exons. NCBI's taxonomy places the organism in Eukaryota, Metazoa, Chordata, Mammalia, Monotremata, Ornithorhynchidae. The record is from RefSeq and is a predicted model, not a curated record.
AACCAACAGGAAAGGCAAUCCGAAAAGGAGCUGGGAAAACUGAUGGGAGAUUGCUAGCCGGGGGCCAAGUGUUAGGAAGAACUGAAAGGAGAGAGCACGAAGUUGGAAAGUUGGUGUGGGAAGAAGAGAACGUCCUGAAAACAAAGCCUAAGAGGACAGCAACACGGUCAGAAUUCAGAAAUGCAUGAAGAAAACAUUUGUUGGAAUGGAGACACAUAGCCACAGCGGCAGCCUCUCGUACCUGCAUCUGAAUCCCGCAAGGCUGAAAUCCCUGCUAACAGUAAGGAUGAUCUUCCCAGCCAAAGCGACGAGCCUUCUCUCUACGAAUAUUCCCCUCACCAAGAACCUUGAGGUUGGUGGAAGGUCAGCAGAGCAGAAAGGAAAGCUGGCAAAGCACAGCUGGGGCUGAGAGUCCCUGCAAGGUCUACUUUUGUAUGUGAUGCCUACUGAUAGGAUUCAGUUCCCAGGACGCAGGAGGUAAGCCCAAAAGGCUUACAAUUCAGAACAAGGCUUUGAGGGGAAAAUGUCCAAAAAAAAAUGAAUAAAUAAAUGCCCGUAGCUGUUUACGGCUUAAAAAUAAAA